GUGGGUAUAGUUUAACAAAACAUUAGAUUGUGGUUCUAAAGAUAGGGGUUAAAACCCCCCUUACCCACC
This 69-nucleotide transfer RNA is filed under the name Apistogramma cacatuoides. Its description in RNAcentral is "tRNA-His". It matches the Rfam family "tRNA". From Rfam's summary of the family: Transfer RNA (tRNA) molecules are approximately 80 nucleotides in length. Their secondary structure includes four short double-helical elements and three loops (D, anti-codon, and T loops). The record is from RNAcentral. Lineage: Eukaryota; Metazoa; Chordata; Actinopteri; Cichliformes; Cichlidae.